GUGAAAAAUAUACUUUUUUUCCCCCUUUCCUCAUUUGUAGGAUGUAUUUACAAAUGAGAUGUGCUAUACAUUUGUAUUUUAUUUCGUUCUCCUUUUUUAUUUCUUAAAAAAAUGGUCCCACUUGUUUUGUGCUCACUGUUGUUGCAUGGAGGGUUGCAUUUCGUUUUUUUUUGUGAAAGUUGGUGAGCAUGUUGGUGUGAUCCUGGGGCUCUAACUUAACAUAAUGACCUGCAAUAAGCACUGAAAAACCACAACUAUGGCUGAUUCCUAAAUGCCACCAUUAUCCUUAUAUAAGGACUGGGGUUCCAUUUGAGACACACGCCAUGUUGGAAAGUAAAAUAUUUGUUAUAAUUGAUCAAAUCCCUCACUGCAUGGACAUACCAAUGCUGGUGAUGUGUACGAUAUACCAAAACUCAAUUAAAAUAAACUAAGUGCCUGGUUUUCACUGACACAGAUUAAGCCUAGUCCUGGGCAUAAAAACUUGCCUCGAUGGAAAUCUCCAUUGACCUUGAUUUUUUAAGUCCAGUAUUAGGCUUAAUGUGUCUGUGUAACCGGCCCUAUGUUCCCCUUUCAUGUCCAUUGUACCACAAAGAAGAAAAUACAGUACAACUUCAAAAAAGUAUGAUACAAUUUACCAAAGUGGCGGUCUUCUGGCCAACAAAUACCACCGUAGCUCAAUUGAUGGUUAAAAUGUGUCAGAAUACAACUAUAGUCUGGAUGCUGUUAAACUCUCAUCCUAUUCUCUAUUUAGUGUCCUAUAUUGCCCACCAUAAAAAUAUUUUGACCACCGUCAAAGGUGGAACAAUAUUUGGAAAAUAUGCCAUUUAGGGUGUAUAUUAUUGUACUGUAUAAGCACAUUUUUCCACUAGUCACCUAUCACUUUCAACAAUAUGGCACCGUAUAAUGAAUGUGUGACUUGGUGGUCUGCGUGUAUAACUGUGUGUGUUUGUGUUUAUAAACGUACGAGUGGGUAAAGGUGUGAGUGUGCCUCUAACGUAUCAAAACUCUUAAGAAUCAGAAUUUUAGGUAUUUUAUAUUGAAUGCAGUAACUUAUGGGCCAGUACUAUUACUAUUACUCAGUGCAAUGCAGUUAUCGUUAUAAUACAAGUCAUUAAUAUUAUUUCUUUUGUAUUUGUACAGAACAAAUGUGUAAGGAUCAGUGAGGAAAACGUGAGCUUUUUGAUACUGUGAGAAAUGGUGUUCCAUUAAGUCAGUUUCCCCCCUGUACAGUUGUGAUUUUCCCCCACUCCUUUUAUAGAAUAAAAUGUUUUUGGUGCAGAUGAUGAUGUAAUGUCUUUUUUUGUUGACUGAGUGUGACAUUGUUCGGCAGAGUGGCAGAAAAUUGCCUGGGGUUGCAAAGAGAAGUAAAGCGACAAGUGUUGAAUGUUAGCUAAAGAGACUAGUUUCCACC
This is a long non-coding RNA of Esox lucius (northern pike), 1411 nucleotides long. The record is from Ensembl. Lineage: Eukaryota; Metazoa; Chordata; Actinopteri; Esociformes; Esocidae.